AUGUUGGAUCCCACAGAGGUGCCUGCAGGAAUUUUCCAGGGGUCAGCUGUACCUUGGGGAGUCACGAUGACUGCAAAAUCUCCUCCUGGGUCCCACUGGAAGGAGCUUGCUGAGGAAACUCAGAAGAGAGCAGCAGUUUUUGCUUUCACCAUAAAUAACUACAGAGCAAAGAAGGAGGUGUCACUCCUGAAGAUAUGGACUGGAGAUGGGACCAUCACUAGAAUUUCCCAAAGAACUUCUCUAGGAAAAAGAUGGAGGGCAGAGAGACUGGCAGAACACAGUGAGUGCAUUGGGACAAUAUUUCCAGAUGUCUGGUACAAGGACGUUGGGAACAAGUACGGUGGACGGUGUGUGAAAGGAAAACACCAUUGGCUGAUGCUGCUGUUCAAUGAAAGUGUGUGCAUGAGUUUGUCUUGGGGAUUUUAGAGGAAGACAAGUGCUGUGGACAUAAUUUUUCAUCUUGCAAUGGAAGAAUUGCUCAGCUUGUUCCAACUAUUACAAAGAAUAUUUCUUUUAGGUGACCAAGAAAUUGAGUAAAUUGCUUUUCCUGUGGUUUUUCUAUCCCCUCCCCUUCUUUCCCUUUGUGUUUUCUAGUCCUUCUCUUGCUCUGUACAUUUGCAAAGCUUUAGUACUUCUUUAGAUAUCAGAACCACUAAAUUACACCAUAAUUUUAACCUUUUUUUUUCUUUCUUUUUAACGCAGAGAGCUGCAUGACUUUCCCAAAUGAGGAGCAAGAGGCAUUGUGUGGAAGAGCAGGGAGCUGGACCUGCAUUUCUGGAAGACCAGACCAUCAGGGCUCUUUCCUCCUGGCUGUCCCUGGCUACUUUGCAUGAACUGCUGUCGUCCUCUCAGGACUGGAGCAUAAUAAUUUACAGACUGUGCUUGCUGCCAAGCCUCCCUUCCCUGAAAGGCUGUUUGUCCCCAGCAGUAUGGAAGAGAAAUCACUCCACUACAAGUACAUUAAGGACACGAACAGCUCUGACAAGAGGUUGAGUAAUAAUUUGUUCGGUAAGCUCACUUAUGCUUUAUUGAAUUCAUUAAUUGGCUGUCCAACAGCUCCAUCAGGCGCUUUUGCAGCAGCCAGGCACAGAAACACAACCUCAAGUCUGGAGUCAAGUCAAAAGGUCCUCCCCACUUCUUUACUAUAGUGUUAAAAUGAAAAUGUCCUCAAGCAAGCAGAGGUGUCCUGCCACAGUGACUAAAACUGUGCAGUGCAGACUAAGCAUUAGCAUUAUGUCAGCAGCAACAACUAAGUGAGGCUGUGCCAAGAUUUGGCAGGUUAAUGUUCUCUGAACACACCUGAAGUGCUUAACAGUUUGAUGUGGCAAUGGCAGGAAAUAAAAUUUUAAUAAAAUUUGAGCA
RNAcentral lists this long non-coding RNA (1362 nucleotides) under Calidris pugnax (ruff). Its description in RNAcentral is "lncRNA (ENSCPUG00000003223.1)". The record is from RNAcentral. Lineage: Eukaryota; Metazoa; Chordata; Aves; Charadriiformes; Scolopacidae.